GGGGAAUUUUCCGCAAUGGGCGAAAGCCUGACGGAGCAAUACCGCGUGAGGGAGGAAGGCUCUUGGGUUGUAAACCUCUUUUCUCAGGGAAUAAGAAAGUGAAGGUACCUGAGGAAUCAGCAUCGGCUAACUCCGUGCCAGCAGCCGCGGUAAUACGGAGGAUGCAAGCGUUAUCCGGAAUGAUUGGGCGUAAAGCGUCCGUAGGUAGCAGUGUGUGUCUAUUGUUAAAGAGUUUGGCUCAACCAAAUAAAGGCGGUAGAAACUACACAGCUAGAGUGCGUUCGGGGCAGAGGGAAUUCCUGGUGUAGCGGUGAAAUGCGUAGAGAUCAGGAAGAACACCGGUGGCGAAAGCGCUCUGCUAGGCCGCAACUGACACUGAGGGACGAAAGCUAGGGGAGCGAAUGGGAUUAGAUACCCCAGUAGUCCUAGCCGUAAACGAUGGAUACUAGGCGUUGAGAGUAUCGACCCUCUCAGUGCCGUAGCUAACGCGUUAAGUAUCCCGCCUGGGGAGUACGCACGCAAGUGUGAAACUCAAAGGAAUUGACGGGGGCCCGCACAAGCGGUGGAGUAUGUGGUUUAAUUCGAUGCAACGCGAAGAACCUUACCAGGGCUUGACAUGUCUGGGACUCUGGGGAAACUCGGGGGUGCCUUCGGGAGCCAGAACACAGGUGGUGCAUGGCUGUCGUCAGCUCGUGUCGUGAGAUGUUGGGUUAAGUCCCGCAACGAGCGCAACCCUCGUACUUAGUUGCCAGCACUUCGGGUGGGCACUCUAAGGAGACUGCCGGUGACAAACCGGAGGAAGGUGGGGAUGACGUCAAGUCAGCAUGCCCCUUACGUCCUGGGCUACACACGUACUACAAUGCUACGGACAAAGGGCAGCAAGCCAGCGAUGGCAAGCAAAUCUCAGAAACCGUGGCUCAGUUCAGAUCGCAGGCUGCAACUCGCCUGCGUGAAGUCGGAAUCGCUAGUAAUUGCAGGUCAGCAUACUGCGGUGAAUUCGUUCCCGGGCCUUGUACACACCGCCCGUCACACCAUGGAAGCUGGUCACGCCCGAAGUCGUUACCCUAACUUUUCGAAGAGGGGGACGCCGAAGGUAGGACUGGUGACUGGGGUGAAGUCGUAACAAGGUAGCCGUACCGGAAGGUGUGGCUGGAUCACCUCCUUUUGAGGGAGACCUGCCCACUCAAGUUACCGAGAACAAGUAAAAGUUGUAAAUCGGUAAUGAGUUGGUCAUCCCAGGUCGGUCGUAGGAUAGUAUAUAUAUGCUUUCAAACUAUUAGAUGGUUCGAGUCAUGGGCUAUUAGCUCAGGUGGUUAGAGCGCACCCCUGAUAAGGGUGAGGUCCCUGGUUCGAGUCCAGGAUGGCCCACCUGAAGCAAGUAAAAAGAGUAAAGUAAAAAGAAAAGACAAAAAAUUUGUUCAAAGAACUUUUUACUUUGAAAUUUUGGCUUGUUGAUGGGGGUUUAGCUCAGUUGGUAGAGCGCCUGCUUUGCAAGCAGGAUGUCAGGAGUUCGAGUCUCCUAACCUCCACCUGUAAACACAGAAAAAACAAAUCUAGCACCUGAAUGAAAAAAUCAGACUGCUGGAUUUAAUUCCAGUCAGAACCUUGAAAACUGCAUAGAGAAGCGGAUUGUAGGUAGUAAGUAAGAGUUAAGAGGGAUGAAAAAGACCAAUUAGCAAUUACGAGUACAGACAGGGAUGUGGAGAGUGGUCAAGCUAAUAAGGGCUUGCGGAGGAUACCUAGGCACACAGAG
This 1753-nucleotide ribosomal RNA is filed under the name Nostochopsis sp. 04292_00001. RNAcentral's name for it is "bacterial SSU rRNA". The stretch from base 1 to 1165 matches the Rfam family "Bacterial small subunit ribosomal RNA", at positions 356 to 1533 of the family's 1533-position model. Lineage: Bacteria; Bacillati; Cyanobacteriota; Cyanophyceae; Nostocales; Hapalosiphonaceae. The record is from RNAcentral.